GGUAUAGCCAAGUGGUAAGGCACGGGACUUUGACUCCCGCAUUCGUAGGUUCAAAUCCUGCUACC
RNAcentral lists this transfer RNA (65 nucleotides) under Christensenella hongkongensis. It matches the Rfam family "tRNA". From Rfam's summary of the family: Transfer RNA (tRNA) molecules are approximately 80 nucleotides in length. Their secondary structure includes four short double-helical elements and three loops (D, anti-codon, and T loops). Further hydrogen bonds mediate the characteristic L-shaped molecular structure. tRNAs have two regions of fundamental functional importance: the anti-codon, which is responsible for specific mRNA codon recognition, and the 3' end, to which the tRNAs corresponding amino acid is attached (by aminoacyl-tRNA synthetases). tRNAs cope with the degeneracy of the genetic code in two manners: having more than one tRNA (with a specific anti-codon) for a particular amino acid; and 'wobble' base-pairing, i.e. permitting non-standard base-pairing at the 3rd anti-codon position. The record is from RNAcentral. Lineage: Bacteria; Bacillati; Bacillota; Clostridia; Christensenellales; Christensenellaceae.